GACGAACGCUGGCGGCGUGCUUAACACAUGCAAGUCGAACGGAGUGGCGAACGGGUGAGUAACACGUGGGUGAUCUGCCUUGCACUUCGGGAUAAGCUUGGGAAACUGGGUCUAAUACCGGAUAGUGCAAGAUGAGCUCGCGGCCUAUCAGCUUGUUGGUGGGGUAAGGGCCUACCAAGGCGUCGACGGGUAGCCGGCCUGGGAGGGUGUACGGGCACAUUGGUACUGAGGUACGGACCAGAGGCGUACGGGGGGCAGCAGGGGGGAGUAUUGCACAAUGGGGGGAAGCCUGAUGCGGCGACGCCGCGUGGGGGAUGUAGGCCUUCGGGUUGUAAACUCCUUUCGACAGGGACGCGGUACCUGUAUAAGAAGCACCGGCUAACUACGUGCCAGCAGCCGCGGUAAUUC
This 408-nucleotide ribosomal RNA is filed under the name uncultured bacterium. RNAcentral's name for it is "partial 16S ribosomal RNA". It matches the Rfam family "Bacterial small subunit ribosomal RNA", at positions 28 to 526 of the family's 1533-position model. The record is from RNAcentral.